AGUGAACGCUGGCGGUAGGCCUAACACAUGCAAGUCGAACGGCAGCACAGUAAGAGCUUGCUCUUACGGGUGGCGAGUGGCGGACGGGUGAGGAAUACAUCGGAAUCUACUUUUUCGUGGGGAUAACGUAGGGAAACUUACGCUAAUACCGCAUACGACCUACGGGUGAAAGCCGGGGAUCUUCGGACCUUGCGCGAUUGAAUUAGCCGAUGUCGGAUUAGCUAGUUGGCGGGGUAAAGGCCCACCAAGGCGACGAUCCGUAGCUGGUCUGAGAGGAUGAUCAGCCACACUGGAACUGAGACACGGUCCAGACUCCUACGGGAGGCAGCAGUGGGGAAUAUUGGACAAUGGGCGCAAGCCUGAUCCAGCCAUACCGCGUGGGUGAAGAAGGCCUUCGGGUUGUAAAGCCCUUUUGUUGGGAAAGAAAAGCAGCAGGUUAAUACCCCGCUGUUCUGACGGUACCCAAAGAAUAAGCACCGGCUAACUUCGUG
This 491-nucleotide ribosomal RNA is filed under the name uncultured bacterium. RNAcentral's name for it is "partial 16S ribosomal RNA". It matches the Rfam family "Bacterial small subunit ribosomal RNA", at positions 29 to 507 of the family's 1533-position model. The record is from RNAcentral.